Non-coding RNA from Pelobates cultripes (western spadefoot toad), 212 nucleotides. The record is from the annotation of a GenBank genome assembly. Lineage: Eukaryota; Metazoa; Chordata; Amphibia; Anura; Pelobatidae.
AGCAGUUAUGCCACCGAAGCCCGACACGCUGUCAAGACUGCAUUUUAAGUUAGAGACAUGAAAAUGUAACACAGGCUGGUCCAACAUGUCAAAGCUAAUAGCAUACACAAUUAUUGCGAACAAGGUAAGGUAGCUAGGCAUGGUGGCUGACUCUGAACAGGAACAUUGCAUAUUAGGGCAUAUUUAUUGGAGUGUGGCCACGGAUCCUGAGC